Non-coding RNA from Callithrix jacchus (white-tufted-ear marmoset), 487 nucleotides. NCBI's taxonomy places the organism in Eukaryota, Metazoa, Chordata, Mammalia, Primates, Cebidae. The record is from RefSeq and is a predicted model, not a curated record.
UGAAACCCCAUCUCUACUAAAAAUACAAAACUAGCUGGGUGUGGUGGCACGCACCUGUAGUCCCAGCUACUCGGGAGGCCGAGGCAGGAGAAUUGCUUGAACCCAGGAGUCGGAGGUUGCGGUGAGCCAAGAUCAUACCAUUGCACUGCAGCCUGGUUAACAAGAGCGAAACUCCGUCUCCAAAAAAAAAUGAUUCAUUCAGAAUGUUCAUCUCCAAGGUUUGACUAAGCCGGGAAACCAACAAGGAACAUAUAAAGAAAAAAGAACAAUUCCAAAUUCUUUCUCCAUGAGAGAGCUACUUUGAACCUUCUAGUGUGUGUUUCUCUCCAGCUAAGAAAAGAGAUUUCUUCAGAUGGAAAGAAUCCAGCUGGAAAAUAAAGUGAUCAGGGAAGUGACUGCCCAAAAUUCAAGGGAAAGAGGAUGCUAUAUUUGGGUCUGUGUCUAUGGCAUGGAGUUUGGGGCCUGACCAACAGGCCUGAGUAUUGUC